CUUUAAAUAAACGAAUAUCAAUUCAAUAAAUGCUAAUGUUCAUCAUUUAUCAAUUCAUGUUAAAAUUUUGUUUCAUUUAAUAAAUUAUUUCUCUCGUGGAUUUUAAAUGUCGAAGAAGAGAAAUGUUUCUCUUUUCAUAUAUUUACUGUUACAGAUUAAUAUUUACUCUAACUCUAGUGAUAUGUUUUGGGCUGGGGCAAGCAAGUGACUUCUGCACCUUUGAUGAUGAGGUAAAAUACUGUGAAUAUGGAUGUUGUUCUCAGAAAUGCUGCGCUAUGUCAACACUGGCAAUUGUUGGCCUUGUAAUAGGUGCUGUAUUGGGAGUGGCGUCCGUGGUCGGUUGUAUCGUCUGCCUUGUAUGUAUGUGUAAACAGGUCGAAUGCCAACCGGAAUGCUAGCAUGGUGCAUCCAAUACAUAAUAAUACAAACUCCGUCUAUGUCUCAAAUGUUCCAAACCACCCACCACCUAGAGCAGUCCCACCCAAUUACAACCAGUACAGCUCGUACCCGGGAAGUUCCGACACAUCGUAUGGAUUCAACGAUCCUGCCUACCCUCCCGGCUACCACCCUCCGCCGGCAUACACCUACUCGAAUCCGAAGUCGGACAAAUUCUAGUGUUGUAAAUGCUUAGUAUACUAUAGACGAACUGCAUGUGAUCAUUAGCGUACACAUUCUUUACUAAAACACUCUCAUGACAUUUUAUACACAUAUCCGAACCAUGUGUUUUUAUCAAACAAGAUUUCUUUUAUAAAUAGAAACGCCAUUUCAAAUUAGGCAACUUUUCAGUAUAACAAAAACGCGAUUGCAAAUUAUAACAUAAAUGUUGACACUCAAGACCAGUCCAACUUUAGGACUAUCUUAGGACCGUUUCAAUAAACAUUAUUAGUUUAAAACACAGACAUUAGACAUUAAGAACAAAUAAUAGAUACAAAAGCACGCACUUCAAUUCAUAUUCUUCUAUUUUAUACAAUAAAAAGUGUGUUGUUAUUUAUAAAACAAUAAAGAUAUAGGUAAUUGUUAAUAAAUACGAAAAUUAUGUAACUGCACGUUUUAUAUUAUGCUUAUUCUAAUUAGAAUUGAGGAAAAAGUAUUUUGUUCAGUAAAAAUAUCACAUAUAUACACAUGUAUAUGCUUAGAAAAUGAUACUACAAUUUAAAUGAAUGGAAGGAUUCAUUAGUGAGAAAAGAAGUAAGUUUUUUUUAUUCACAGACGCUAACUCGAGUUAUAGUUUAAGAUAACAUACAUGCUUCGUAAUAAUUUAAGGAUGCAAUAUUGACUAAAAUAUGAUAUUAAUAUUGUUAUGUUGUUGAAAUUUUGUUGUUUAUGAAUAAAUUACAUUUUAGUUACAAA
This is a long non-coding RNA of Ruditapes philippinarum (Manila clam), 1350 nucleotides long. RefSeq lists it as uncharacterized. NCBI's taxonomy places the organism in Eukaryota, Metazoa, Mollusca, Bivalvia, Venerida, Veneridae. The record is from RefSeq and is a predicted model, not a curated record. The transcript is spliced from 4 exons.